RNA transcript from Lactuca sativa (garden lettuce), 1248 nucleotides. RefSeq lists it as uncharacterized. The record is from RefSeq and is a predicted model, not a curated record. NCBI's taxonomy places the organism in Eukaryota, Viridiplantae, Streptophyta, Magnoliopsida, Asterales, Asteraceae.
GAUCGCCUAAACCACAUACCUAAAUUCCACUAAAUGGGUCGACCCUAAACCAAAUACCCUAAUUAUGAACGAAUCAUACCGACCGUCUCGAAUCUUCGACGACGAUCUUCCGAUUUUGUCAGACACCGACGAUUUUCAGAGUGCAGAAACUGUUAGUCUUCUGCGGUUAUGUGAUGGCCUCUCAUCCAUCUGGAAAUGAGAAAUUACGUUUAGUCGUUUGGGUUUUCGAUUGAUUGCAAUAGCUGGCGUGCCACCACUCAUAUAAUAGCUUAAUCGAUGGAGUUGUUACCGCCACUGCCGCCAGACUGAUAUGAUACUUUUAGAUGCUAGACGACAGUUGAUGUUAAGUUUCCGGCACCUGAUUGAGUUCGUUAGAAAGAUGACGGGGUAUGGGCUCACGGAUCCGGUGAACAGAAAAGAGUAUAUUGAUUACUCGAGUACGAUUGAUAUUGAGUAGAAAACGAAUGCCAAGGAAUAAAAGCAAAGACAGAAAAACUUGAAAGAAUGCUUAUUUAUGUAAAGGUGAUGAGCCGAUUGUAUUUUUAAUCUCAAAUAAUGCAUGAAUGAUGAUUACAAUCGGUGAAGAUACAAUUGAAAAACUAAAGGGAUCAUGUUUUUACGAUAUUUAAGAAGGCUGACUAUAUGAACUUCAGAAACGUGAAACAAUGGACGACAGAGGGGAAUAAAAUCAAAGGUGAAGAAAACGAAAGCAGUAAGAGGAGGAAAACCACUGUGAUAUGCAAACAGAAUGUUAGGGACAACGUAUUCUGCAACAGCAAGGAGUCUUUACGUUCAACAGGGAUUACAAAAGGAAAUGAAGGGCAUUUUGGACAAUUUAGUUUAGUAAAAAAAGCGGGAAAAUUCGAUUUUGGGGGGCUUGGAGAUUGCCGAUUGCCACGUGGCGAAAUUGUAUUUAUUUAUUAGAUUAGGGGAUAUAUAUAUAUAUAUAUAUAUAUAUAUAUAUAUAUAUAUAUAUAUAUAUAUAUAUAUAUAUAUAUAUAUAUAUAUAUAUAUAUAUAUUAGAUCGUAAUGUAAAUUUAGCUAUUUUACAUUAGAAGAACCAUGUUGUUAUGGUUGCAUUUUGGUUAAAAUCUAACCCGAAUGAAAAACUCUCUCUUUCAAGUCUAAUAUUUUAACUAAAACUUUGUCAUCAAAUAUGUAAUUGAUUUAAUGUCAAACAAACCAAAGAUGAGUGAAGCAAAAAAAAAAAAAAAAAAAUCAAUGGUACAAAUAACAAACAGAAAGAAA